RNAcentral lists this transfer RNA (73 nucleotides) under Stegodyphus mimosarum. It matches the Rfam family "tRNA". Rfam says of the family: Transfer RNA (tRNA) molecules are approximately 80 nucleotides in length. Their secondary structure includes four short double-helical elements and three loops (D, anti-codon, and T loops). Further hydrogen bonds mediate the characteristic L-shaped molecular structure. tRNAs have two regions of fundamental functional importance: the anti-codon, which is responsible for specific mRNA codon recognition, and the 3' end, to which the tRNAs corresponding amino acid is attached (by aminoacyl-tRNA synthetases). tRNAs cope with the degeneracy of the genetic code in two manners: having more than one tRNA (with a specific anti-codon) for a particular amino acid; and 'wobble' base-pairing, i.e. permitting non-standard base-pairing at the 3rd anti-codon position. Lineage: Eukaryota; Metazoa; Arthropoda; Arachnida; Araneae; Eresidae. The record is from Rfam by way of RNAcentral.
ACUUUCGUAGUGUAGUGGUCAGCACGUUCUGCUCGUAUUCGAAACGUCCGUAGUUCGAGUCCCGGCGAAAGCG